GCCGGGCGUGGUGGCGUGCGCCUGUAGUCCCAGCUAGGGAGGCUGAGGCAGGAGAAUCUCUUGAACCCGGGAAGUGGAGGCUGCAGGGAGCCCUGAUCUCACCACUGCACUCCAGCCUGGGUGACAGAGCGAGACCCUGUCUCAA
RNAcentral lists this non-coding RNA (145 nucleotides) under Homo sapiens (human). Lineage: Eukaryota; Metazoa; Chordata; Mammalia; Primates; Hominidae. The record is from Rfam by way of RNAcentral.